GAUGAACGCUGGCGGCGUGCUUAACACAUGCAAGUCGAACGAUGAAGCCCAGCUUGCUGGGUGGAUUAGUGGCGAACGGGUGAGUAACACGUGAGUAACCUGCCCUUGACUCUGGGAUAAGCGCUGGAAACGGCGUCUAAUACCGGAUACGAGCUUCCACCGCAUGGUGAGUUGCUGGAAAGAAUUUCGGUCAAGGAUGGACUCGCGGCCUAUCAGGUAGUUGGUGAGGUAACGGCUCACCAAGCCGACGACGGGUAGCCGGCCUGAGAGGGUGACCGGCCACACUGGGACUGAGACACGGCCCAGACGCCUACGGGAGGCAGCAGUGGGGAAUAUUGCACAAUGGGCGCAAGCCUGAUGCAGCAACGCCGCGUGAGGGACGAAGGCCUUCGGGUCGUAAACCUCUUUUAGCAGGGAAGAAGCGAAAGUGACGGUACCUGCAGAAAAAGCACCGGCUAACUACGUG
This 466-nucleotide ribosomal RNA is filed under the name uncultured bacterium. RNAcentral's name for it is "partial 16S ribosomal RNA". It matches the Rfam family "Bacterial small subunit ribosomal RNA", at positions 28 to 507 of the family's 1533-position model. The record is from RNAcentral.